UCGAGGAUCAUUCGCAAUGAGCGAAAGCUUGACGAUGCGACGCCGUGUGAGCGAUGAAGGCCUUCGGGUUGUAAAGCUCUUUCGCCUGGGAACAAGAGAGCAUUGUGAAUAACAGUGUGAUUUGAGUGUACCAGGUAAAGAAGCACCGGCUAACUACGUGCCAGCAGCUGCGGUAAUACGUAGGGUGCAAGCAUUAAUCGGAAUUAUUGGGCGUAAAGGGCGCGUAGGCGGUAAGGGAAGUCAGAUGUGAAAUUUCGGGGCUCAACCUCGGAGCUGCAUAUGAAACUCCCAUACUAGAGGGUUGGCGGAGAAAAUGGAAUUCCACGUGUAGCGGUGAAAUGCGUAGAUAUGUGGAAGAACACCGGUGGCGAAAGCGAUUUUCUAGCUGAUACCAGACGCUGAGGCGCGAGAGCAAGGGGAGCAAACAGGAUUAGAUACCCCCGUAGUCC
This 449-nucleotide ribosomal RNA is filed under the name uncultured bacterium. RNAcentral's name for it is "bacterial SSU rRNA". It matches the Rfam family "Bacterial small subunit ribosomal RNA", at positions 355 to 796 of the family's 1533-position model. The record is from RNAcentral.